This 224-nucleotide ribosomal RNA is filed under the name uncultured bacterium. RNAcentral's name for it is "partial 16S ribosomal RNA". It matches the Rfam family "Bacterial small subunit ribosomal RNA", at positions 108 to 334 of the family's 1533-position model. The record is from RNAcentral.
GCGUAACGCGUAUACAAUCUACCUUUUGCUAAGGGAUAGCCCAGAGAAAUUUGGAUUAAUAUCUUAUAGUAUGUUGCAUUCGCAUGGGGGCAAUAUUAAAGGUUACGGCAAAAGAUGAGUAUGCGUUCUAUUAGCUGGAUGGUGUGGUAACGGCACACCAUGGCGACGAUAGAUAGGGGCCCUGAGAGGGGGAUCCCCCACACUGGUACUGAGACACGGACCAG